RNAcentral lists this unclassified non-coding RNA (82 nucleotides) under Pseudomonas helmanticensis. Lineage: Bacteria; Pseudomonadati; Pseudomonadota; Gammaproteobacteria; Pseudomonadales; Pseudomonadaceae. The record is from RNAcentral.
GUAGGCGCUGCCGCAGGCUGCGAUCUUUUGAUCUUGAGCCUUUAAUCAGGAUCAAAAGAUCGCAGCCUGCGGCAGCGCCUAC